UACGGAGGGGGCUAGCGUUGUUCGGAAUUACUGGGCGUAAAGCGCACGUAGGCGGCUUUGUAAGUUAGAGGUGAAAGCCCGGGGCUCAACUCCGGAACUGCCUUUAAGACUGCAUCGCUUGAACAUCGGAGAGGUAAGUGGAAUUCCGAGUGUAGAGGUGAAAUUCGUAGAUAUUCGGAAGAACACCAAUGGCGAAGGCGGCUCACUGGUCCAUUACUGACGCUGAGGUGCGAAAGCGUGGGGAGCAAACAGG
This 253-nucleotide ribosomal RNA is filed under the name uncultured bacterium. RNAcentral describes it as "partial 16S ribosomal RNA". It matches the Rfam family "Bacterial small subunit ribosomal RNA", at positions 524 to 776 of the family's 1533-position model. The record is from RNAcentral.